Molecule: long non-coding RNA, 381 nt
Organism: Gadus macrocephalus (Pacific cod)
Lineage: Eukaryota; Metazoa; Chordata; Actinopteri; Gadiformes; Gadidae
Exons: 3
Source: RefSeq, a predicted model, not a curated record
CGUCCUGGAGGGCCCGGAGGCGGCGGCGGCGGUGGCGGCGUCCUGGAGGGCCCGGAGGCGGCGGCGGCGGCGUCCUGGAGGGCCCGGAGGCGGCGGCUCCUCAUCCAAAGAAAUGAGGCGACGUUGCGGAGGUCCAGGCGGUUGGCCCGGUGGAGGUCCUGGAGGAGACGGUCCCGGCGGUGGAGGACGGCUGGGGGAUCCGGCGGUGGAGGUCCGAAGGCGGCUCGUGAUUAGACCAACCAGCUCCUCAUCCAUGGAAGGAUUGAAGGAGUCACUGGGGAUGAAGAUCACUGCUCAGGGGCUGACGACCACUCAUCUUUCCGGAGAAGGUACAUAAAUCUACAGCUGAUGUGAUUAAAGUUAUGCAGUUCAGAUCCGCUG